GGCACUACUUACUCCUUCUUACUAUAUGCUAGAUUUUUACGCACAACAGGACACACCAAAGCAAUCAUGAAGCCAAUUUCUUUUGUGUUGAUCUUCUUUCUUCUUCUUCUCCUCCUUCUAUCCUCAACAUCUGCUCGUCUCUAUCUUCCCCCAAAACAAGGUAAUUAAUUAAUUAACCUAUAUAUCUUCUUGUUUCUUUCCUCUUAGUUUUGUUUUCUCUCUCUCUAUAUAUUCAUGCGUUUUUUUACAGAAGAAAAAGAGUUGAAAAGUACUGAUGGUUCAUUCACAGAGAGAAAAGAAGAUGUUUCCACUCUCAUGGGGUUAGAGGAAUAUGAAUGCGAAGAGGGAGAUGAAGAGUGUCUCAAGAGAAGGAUGGUAGCAGAAGCUCACUUGGAUUACAUUUACACCCAACACCAUAAGAAGCCUUAAUAGUUUGAGAUGCCUAAAGUUCAUUACAUGUAUUAUAAUAUAGGACUAUAAUUAAGUGUUUAUAUUAAUUAAUUACCCACUUUACCAUAUAAUUAGUCUCAUACCCUCCUUGUAUUGUAACAGUAGGAUGAUGUUGGUAAAGUUAAUUAAGUGGAUUUCCAUUUUCCAGAGGAAUUAAUACAAGGGAAUCUU
RNAcentral lists this unclassified non-coding RNA (621 nucleotides) under Hevea brasiliensis (rubber tree). The record is from RNAcentral. Lineage: Eukaryota; Viridiplantae; Streptophyta; Magnoliopsida; Malpighiales; Euphorbiaceae.